Long non-coding RNA from Brassica napus (rape), 6281 nucleotides. RefSeq lists it as uncharacterized. Lineage: Eukaryota; Viridiplantae; Streptophyta; Magnoliopsida; Brassicales; Brassicaceae. The record is from RefSeq and is a predicted model, not a curated record. The transcript is spliced from 4 exons.
CCCCAGACUUACUUCACAACGUCCCUGGUGUGAAAAUAAAUCAGAGAGAAGGAGAAAACAAGAAUAAAUUUUAUUUUUUUUUUUGGGUCGAGAUACUUACCUGGCGCGGAGCAGCCUGACAGAGCAAGACGCGGUUGCUCCGGUAAAGGAUGCUCUGGAAUAAGAGCAGCCAGCUGCUUGCUCCAGUCAAGGGUCUCGGAUUUUCUGAUUUAUGUCCUGAGACUCAACAAACUAAAAACAAAAAUAAGUAAAAAGAAAAUUCUAAUGUUAAUGACACUUACCAGUGGGUUGCCUCCCACCAAGCGCUUGGUUUAAGUCUCUAGCUUGACUUGGUGACUGGGAUCAAUCGGGUUGAGCAGGAGGGCUUGUUCCAAAACAAGCUCCACAAUCAGACAUGUUCAGCUCCAGAACUCUGCUCAACAACCCUUUCACAGCAGCUUUCCCUUUCUCCUUCAGCUCAUGUGUGAGAAUAGCUCUUACUUUAGAGAAAGGUUUAGAGGUACCCUUGCACUUUACCUCAUACUCAAUGGAGUUCUCAUCACACUUGAGAGGUAUCAAAGUCAUUGUAGGAUCUCCCUUGAUCAUUUUCUUCUGGACUUUCUGUUUCACUCUUGAAUUCCCUCUAAAUUUAGUAGGAUCAGUGCUAGGAUCUUCAUCAGAGAACAGCCUGCUCUCACCCUUAUCACCAUGCUCCUUCUCUAGAACAAUCUUCAGCUUUUUUACAUAAGAUGCGAGAGGCGUGUGAUGAGGAAGAUCUGGUGGGUACAGCUUUGUAGAAAACUUUCUUGUUGAUGUUGGAGAAGCAGACUGUAAUAACCCUCAUGAGCCAGUUAAUUUUUGGUCGAGAAAAACUCCGCUCGACCAGUUUUGAGUUGGUCGAUCAGAUUUAAAAAUAAAGUCGACCCGGUGAAUUAAUACCUCGACGGGACUGUCUUGUGGUCGAAAGGCCUCUCAUUGAUAGUUCUGGUAGAGUGUUAAUAAUGUUGGUCGAAUUUUAUUUAAGCUAGGCAAGCUUAGUUGAAAGCAAGACGAGAUUCGAAGGAUGAGAAAUUUUAGUCGAAAACUGUCCGAAAUUGUCGUUAAGUUUCUUAACUAAAUUCCGACCAGUCUAAUACCUUCACCAGCUAUUCUUCUUGCUUUCUCAGUAAAUCAGUCACAUGAGCUGCACCUACCUGCUUGCUUGCUUCACUAAAGUCACAUGAAAGUCACAAGCUGGUUGCUUGUUUAAUAAAAACAAAAUAAUCUUUCUUCAAAGGAGGGAAAGGACAGCAACUUGCUUUGGUUUAAGUAAACCCUCACCUGAAGCAACUUCUUAUGUUAUAAAACACCAUCUUCUCUCCUCUGGACGUUCAUAACCUGCAAGAAAAACCAGAGAAAAAUUCAGAGAGAAAGAGAGAAAGAAGAGAGAAAAAUUUGUGAGAAAAACUAGUUGAAAAAUUCAGAAACAAAAUUUAGAGAAGAGAAUUGAGCAUGGACAAACCUUUCUCACCAUCCUGUGACUUUAUCCAGUGUGUACUGGUGUGGUUAAGAGCUGAAGGUUUGGUGUCCAAGAGUUUAGAAUUACCCAUAUUCUUCAGCCUUUGAUUUUGAUCGGUUAAUUCGUGGUUAACUUGAAGAGAGACAACCAGUCAAGUUUAAUUAGUUGAGUAAAACCGAUGGCCAAGGAGAGUAUUCGGAUCAGCCGGAUCCUUAUGAUGGUUCUAAACCGAGAGUGAUCCAGAAGUGAAGUGUGAUUAGCUUGAGCUCGAGUCUAGUCUUCCUUAGCCAAUCUCAUGGAUUUAAAGGUAACCAGUAGGUGGGAGACCUUUACUCUAGGAUGGGAAGGAACGGCAUUAGCCAGCGGUAGUUUUAUUAUCCUUGCAGUCGUUUUGAUAUACUUUAUGUAUAAGGUUUGUUGACCGAAAACCUCGAGGUUAAUCUAUAAGAUUUUGUAAGAUUCUUUUAAAUGAAUAAGUAUAUAGUGUAUAAAGAAUGUUUUUAAAGUACGGGUUCCAAAUGAUAUUAGUCCUUGUCCGGACGAACCAACUAUUGGGUAUUACUCUUAAGGUUGUAAAGCCUCGGGUUGUACCUAAUAGGAUAUGUGUACUUAGGCGGUUGGCCUAAGGUACCUGGAUUUAUUUCGGGAACUUCGGGUUAGUCGUUUAUGUACACAUUGUGGCUUCUCGGUUUGGUUUCAGUUACGAGUGAUCGGCUGUGCAUGUUCUUGUUUGAUUGUUGCACGGCUGGUCGAGUCAACUUAUACUUAGACCAGAUCGGGGGUGUCACAAAGGUGGUAUCAGAGCAUGGUUAUACGAUGCUUGAAUGGGACUUGUUUCAAACGUUUUUCGAGUCAAAAUGAGUCGCAAGGAUAAUUCGGAUGUGCUGGCUAGUUCCUUCAUAUUAAGAUAGAUAGUCAUGGGUAGUUACCUUACUGUUAUCUUUCAUACGAGAUGCAUCAAGACAAGCUCGACGGAGUGGAGUGUUCUUACCAAUUUUGAUCCUGUUAAGAUCGAGAUUCCUACAAUCAUGAUUGAGCUUUCUACCGUCAUGAUUCGGUUUGUUAUCGUCAUGUUUUGGUUCAAUCCGGUCAUGCUUCAAUCCAUUAUCAUCAUGCUCGGGUGAGCUAACGAUGUGCUCGUGUUUGCUACCAUCAUGCUCGGAGUUGGUAUCAUCAUGCUUUCUCGCGGUUCCUACAAUUUCUAGUGUGGAUACCGAUAUUCAAAGAUAUAUGAGACAGAGUUGACACAUCAAUUACAUCUUUGGCCCGUGUUUUAUUGAAGUCAAAGUUGACGUUGUUGGUGAUGAUCCGGUUCAGAAUAUCCGACUUCAUAUGACUUAUUCUUUCGGCUGCUCAGUUCAAUCCAGCUUAUGCCCAAACGUACCAGAACCAGAGACGUACAAGCCUGAUUGAUUCAGCACUUGUUUCAAUCUUAACGUUGGUGGCGGAGAUAGUUCAGCAGUAGUUUAAGACGAUGGACGCACCAGCACCAUUCCGUUGCAACAAGACAUCUUGAAGUUUGUGAACAAGAUAAAGAAGUUGGGACAACACCGACAAGUACUAAACCAUUUGAUGUAGAUUUUGUAUAGAGGAAGAUUUCGAAUGCAACACUAGGAGCAGAACAACUAACAUGGCCCAUUGUUCACAAAAUUGCAAGAAAUAUAUGGAACCAUACAUCAUCAAGAAUGAUACAGUAAGUUGGUGAUUAAGCGUCAAGCAUCAUUUGGAAAAUGUUAGUCCAAGUUAGGCGGAUUUCUUUCAAGAGUUCAAGAUGGAGUGUUUUCUACCCAAAACAUGGGAGCGAUAUGGAAUUCGCACAGUGAGAUGUUUCCGCCAAGAUUUUGAAGUCAAGUUAAUCUGAUUUAUCCAUUAUGGUUUGGAGGAUGAGCUAAAGAUCAUGAAGAUGUACUAUUGUGACUUAGCCAUUAAUCUCAGAGUAACCCAAACUAUAAAGCUUAAGAGCUAUGAGGAGUUGGUGGAGGAUCACAUGAAUUCUAUAGAAGCCGUUUUUACUGAAGAAGUUUACUAAGUCAUGCAGAUUAUUUAAUUAUCAACCUAUUCAGAUAGAAGGUCAGUUUCAAGUAAUGAAUCAAGAAAGUCGAUGGAGAUAAUUUUUGUUGGACGUUUCAUCAGAUCAAGACCGAGGACCCUGAGUUGUUUUGGUUUUGGCUAGAAAGGAGAGUAAGGUGAUGAUUGUUCAAGUAUAUAAAAUCCUCGAUCGCUUACGUCAUUUGCGCUUCGGUGGUGCCAGUAAUGAGUACAGAGGUUAUCCUACCAUGGCCCAUGAAGUUACCCGAUCUUUUUACCUAUACCUAGGGUACCGCUUGUUAAACUUGUUCGCUUUCCUUACCAUUAGUCACUAACUAAGUGUUUGGCUAUUUGGGUAGAGCCUACACUUUAUAGUUGCCUGGACCGUCAAAACCUCUGAAAAGGUCCAAUCACAGGUUUGCUUCUUAUCCCAUUGCGUGUUGUGUGCAUUUUAAAAAUUUAUGAAUGAUUAAAUAAAUUAGUGAAGGAGUGAUCAAGGUGUCGUAUGAGACCUUGCCUAUGGACGGAAUUUUCCGCCCAUAUUGUGUUUGAUGCGGGAACAACACAUAGAUGUAGUUCUCGGGUAGUGUCAUUGUUUUAGGAAGGAUUCACUUUAGUGAAUUCAGGUACACUGUUCUUAUUCGUGGAAGUACUGGCUGCCAUUUAGAGUUAUGGUAUGCCUUCGUAUCCCAUCCCCAUUCCUUAGUACUUCCAUUAGAGCGGUUUGUUUCUAUCUAGAAUGAGAUUGGCUAUCUAGUUAUCGAGCUCAAUUAGGAUGUUGUUGAGGAAGGAAGUCUUUGAGAGAUGACCAGUUACCGUUGGCCUGCAGUCGUAUUCUACUAAGUGUUGGAGCCUCGCUCAUAUCAGUCUGGAGAGAAUAGAUAACGUUCAAGAUUGCAAGUAGAAAAUCAAGAUGGCUUAUUCAUUCGUAUUUGAGGAACUCAGUUGAACGAUGAGAAUCUAAGGAAUUCAUAGAAGGAACUGGGUGAAGAGAAUUUUGAAGAAUAGUAUGAGGACUGUGUCAUGUACAAGUUCAUAAAGUGGAGAUGUGGGAGAAGGAACCCAAAUUCAACCUAAAAUUAAGCAGAUGUGAAGUAAAUCCCAAGGAAGAUUGAAGAGUGCAAGGAAAAAGGUAUAACCAUAAGGCAUAUGGGAAUGCUCAAGUUGUUAAGAAAUUAGAAGAUGUAUUAACAGAGAAAGUGUGAAGUCAUCAUACAAGAGUACUUCGUUGGUAAAUCAAGUUUGGUAUAGGCGGACUUGUUGAUUCCUCAGUUACUAGACAGAAGAAGGAAAUCAGAAAGUAAUAGAACAAAACUUGGAUAUGCGAAACUUCAGUGAGAUUGAGUCGUUCAGAACUUUUUGAAGAGUAUCUCAGAUAGAUAAGAAGGGUAUGGAAUACUGUAAGGAAAAUCAUUCCUGGAAUAAGUGUGUGUGUGUGUAUUUGAGAGUGGCACCCUUGGUCUGAUCAUGUUAGCGUGAUUGAUCGUGCAUGUUCUUGUUUGAUUGUUGCACGGUUAAUCAAGUUGACAUUGACCAGACUGAAGAUGUUACCUUCACGUAUGGCACAUCACCUGACGUUCCAUAUUUCCAUGUUAUUGAACUGGAGGAAAGCAGAUAGAAAAGUUUCAGAAGUAAUGGUAUUCAGAGAUUCAACGAUGUCAAAGGAAGUAUGUAGACCGCAGUAUAUGAAAGUUAUGUGCGAUGAAGAAUUGGUUAUCGUGAAAGUGUUUGCUCAGAAAAGAAAGAAUUAUUUUAGAAAAAUUGGGGAAAUCCGCAAAUCUGUUAUUUGGUAUGUACCGAGUUGUUCAGAAUUGAAAUGGUUAUCUGUUGACCGGAACUUCUUUUAGUUAUGCUAUUGGUGAGCCGAUUUUGCGUAAUCUUAUAUCAGACCCAGUAUGAUAGAACUGCUGAGACAAGAAAACUUGUAACCCUAUUUAGCCUAUCCUAAAGGUCCUUUGCGGAUAGGUGAGCACCAUAUCAGAAGAUUGGAGAAAAGGAAAAAUUUGUAAAAGUUCAAGUAUUUGGGGAUAGGUGAGCACCAUCAGUUGUUUUGACACGGGCAGAUGAGGAUAAGUUCAGAGUUGGUUAUCUUAAACUUCUUGCAGAGACUCCAGUGUUCAGUAAAAGUCUGUACAGCUAUCUUUUGAGAAUUCGGGGACGAAUUCUUUUAAGGGGGGAAGAAUGUAAUAACCCUCACGAGCCAGUUAAUUUUUGGUCGAGAAAAACUCCGCUCGACCAGUUUUGAAUUGGUCGAUCAGAUUUAAAAAUAAAGUCGACCCGGUGAAUUAAUACCUCGACGGGACUGUCUUGUGGUCGAAAGGCCUCUCAUUGAUAGUUCUGGUAGAGUGUUAAUAAUGUUGGUCGAAUUUUAUUUAAGCUAGGCAAGCUUAGUUGAAAGCAAGACGAGAUUCGAAGGAUGAGAAAUUUUAGUCGAAAACUGUCCGAAAUUGUCGUUAAGUUUCUUAACUAAAUUCCGACCAGUCUAAUACCUUCACCAGCUAUUCUUCUUGAUUUCUCAGUAAAUCAGUCACAUGAGCUGCACCUACCUGCUUGCUUGCUUCACUAAAGUCACAUGAAAGUCACAAGCUGGUUGCUUGUUUAAUAAAAACAAAAUAAUCUUUCUUCAAAGGAGGGAAAGGACAGCAACUUGCUUUGGUUUAAGUAAACCCUCACCUGAAGCAACUUCUUAUGUUAUAAAACACCAUCUUCUCUCCUCUGGACGUUCAUAACCUGCAAGAAAAACCAGAGAAAAAUUCAGAGAGAAAGAGAGAAAGAA